AUUUCUUGUGUGACCGCGUACUUUUUGUAGAACGGGCCAACGAGUUACGUUAAGUAGCAAGGUUAAGCACUUAAGGUGCGGAGCCGUAGCGAAAGCGAGUUUUAACUGAGCGUUCAGUUACUUGACGUAGACCCGAAACCGGGCGACCUACCCAUGAGCAGGAUGAAGCGAAAGUAAAAUUUCGUGGAGGUCCGAACCCACGAGCGUUGAAAAGCUCGGGGAUGACUUGUGGGUAGCGGUGAAAUUCCAAUCGAGCCCGGAGAUAGCUGGUUCUCCCCGAAAUAGCUUUAGGGCUAGCCUCAAGGUGAGAGAUACGGAGGUAGAGCACUGAAUGUCCUAGGGGGUAUUGCACCUACCGAAGACUAUCAAACUCCGAAUGCCGUCAUCUUAUACUUGGGAGUCAGACUGUGGGUGAUAAGAUUCAUAGUCGAAAGGGCAACAGCCCAGAUCGUCAGCUAAGGUCCCUAAAUGUAAGUUAAGUGGUAAAGGAUGUGGGAUUGCACAGACAACCAGGAUGUUGGCUUAGAAGCAGCCACUCAUUCAAAGAGUGCGUAAUAGCUCACUGGUCGAGUGAUCCUGCGCCGAAGAUUUCCGGGGCUAAAACUUACUACCGAAGCUACGGCAUCAGUAAUGAUGGGUAGGGGAGCUUCCCAUACGGGUUGAAGCAUGACCGUAAGGACAUGUGGACAGUAUGGGAGUGAGAAUGUUGGCAUGAGUAGCGAGAUGUGGGUGAGAAUCCCACAGGCCGUAAACCCAAGGUUUCCAGGGGAAGGUUCGUCCGCCCUGGGUUAGUCGGGACCUAAGCUGAGGCCGAAAGGCGUAGGUGAUGGACAACAGGUUGAUAUUCCUGUACUACCGAUAACCGUUUGAGAGAAGGGAUGACACAGUAGGAUAAGCUAAGCACACUGUUGGUUAUGUGUGCCCAAGCAUUGAGGCAGUCAAAGUAGGCAAAUCCGCUUUGAUAAUGCUGGGAUGUGAUGGGGAGCGAAAUUUAGUAGCGAAGUAGCUGAUUUCACACUGUCAAGAAAAGUCUCUAUCGAGGUUAAAGGUACCCGUACCGCAAACCGACACAGGUGGGUGAGGAGAGUAUCCUAAGGCCAGCGAGAGAACUGUUGUUAAGGAACUCGGCAAAAUGACCCCGUAACUUAGGGAUAAGGGGUGCCACCAUCAGGUGGCCGCAGAGAAUAGGCCCAAGCGACUGUUUACCAAAAACAUAGGUUUCUGCUAAGUCGCAAGACGAUGUAUAGGAGCUGACGCCUGCCCGGUGCUGGAAGGUUAAGGGGAUCUGUUAGAGCAAUCGAAGCAGUGAACUUAAGCCCCAGUAAACGGCGGCCGUAACUAUAACGGUCCUAAGGUAGCGAAAUUCCUUGUCGGGUAAGUUCCGACCCGCACGAAAGGCGUAACGAUUUGGGCACUGUCUCAACAACAGACUCGGUGAAAUUGUAAUUCCGGUGAAGAUGCCGGAUACCUGCGACAGGACGGAAAGACCCCAUGGAGCUUUACUGUAGCUUGACAUUGGGUCUUGGUACUACAUGUACAGGAUAGGUGGGAGGCUUUGAAACCAGGACGCCAGUUUUGGCGGAGCCAUCCUUGGGAUACCACCCUUGUAGUACUGGGACUCUAACCAUAGGCCAUGAAUCUGGUCUUGGGACACUGUCAGGUGGGCAGUUUGACUGGGGCGGUCGCCUCCC
RNAcentral lists this ribosomal RNA (1691 nucleotides) under Clostridioides difficile. RNAcentral describes it as "partial 23S ribosomal RNA". It matches the Rfam family "Bacterial large subunit ribosomal RNA", at positions 584 to 2291 of the family's 2925-position model. Lineage: Bacteria; Bacillati; Bacillota; Clostridia; Peptostreptococcales; Peptostreptococcaceae. The record is from RNAcentral.